RNAcentral lists this long non-coding RNA (299 nucleotides) under Hordeum vulgare. RNAcentral describes it as "long non-coding RNA (HVUL_LNC015120)". Lineage: Eukaryota; Viridiplantae; Streptophyta; Magnoliopsida; Poales; Poaceae. The record is from RNAcentral.
UAAAACACUCGGGGCCAGAUACGAUGGCCCUGCUUCCACUCGGACGGUCCAUAUCGCGACCAUCGCGGUGGGCUCGACCCCUGUCGACUCUUCGCUGAGCGAUUCGGCCCCUUGCGUCGGGUCUUGGGUCGUAAGUGUCGUCGACUGAAUGCCGAUCAUCAUGAUGCCGGGACCCGCAGGGCCCACCCCGCGGAGGGGUGCGUGAGCGACGGCGAUACUGAUGAGAUCCAGGGCUGUGAACCGAUCUAUGCGUGUUUGCAUGGACGGAACUAUUGUGGAUCCGAUUGUGUGACUGGGAG